GACCCCAGGUCAGGCGGGGUUACCCGCUGAAUUUAAGCAUAUCAAUAAGC
Molecule: ribosomal RNA, 50 nt
Filed under: Parietaria pensylvanica
Lineage: Eukaryota; Viridiplantae; Streptophyta; Magnoliopsida; Rosales; Urticaceae
Description: partial 26S ribosomal RNA
Source: RNAcentral